This 329-nucleotide unclassified non-coding RNA is filed under the name uncultured Solicoccozyma. Its description in RNAcentral is "sequence contains ITS2". The record is from RNAcentral. Lineage: Eukaryota; Fungi; Basidiomycota; Tremellomycetes; Filobasidiales; Piskurozymaceae.
AACACACCUUGCGCUCUUUGGUAUUCCGAAGAGCAUGCCUGUUUGAGUGUCAUGAAAAUAUCAACCUUGACUUGGGUUUAGUGCUCUUGUCUUGGCUUGGAUUUGGCUGUUUGCCGCUCGAAAGAGUCGGCUCAGCUUAAAAGUAUUAGCUGGAUCUGUCUUUGAGACUUGGUUUGACUUGGCGUAAUAAGUUAUUUCGCUGAGGACAAUCUUCGGAUUGGCCGAGUUUCUGGGACGUUUGUCUGCUUUCUAAUACAAGUUCUAGCUUGCUAGACAUGACUUUUUUAUUAUCUGGCCUCAAAUCAGGUAGGACUACCCGCUGAACUUAA